RNAcentral lists this ribosomal RNA (451 nucleotides) under uncultured bacterium. RNAcentral's name for it is "bacterial SSU rRNA". It matches the Rfam family "Bacterial small subunit ribosomal RNA", at positions 354 to 796 of the family's 1533-position model. The record is from RNAcentral.
GUGGGGAAUUUUUCGCAAUGGGGGAAACCCUGACGAAGCAACGCCGCGUGGAGGAUGAAGGCCUUCGGGUUGUAAACUCCUGUCGACCGGGACGAAAGCUGUCUGACCCAAUACGUCGGGCAGUUGACUGUACCGGUGGAGGAAGCCACGGCUAACUCUGUGCCAGCAGCCGCGGUAAUACAGAGGUGGCAAGCGUUGUUCGGAAUUACUGGGCGUAAAGGGCGCGUAGGCGGUUCGGUAAGUCCUGUGUGAAAUCCCUCGGCUCAACUGAGGAACUGCACGGGAGACUGCCGGGCUUGAGUUCGGGAGAGGGAAGCGGAAUUCCGGGUGUAGCGGUGAAAUGCGUAGAUAUCCGGAGGAACACCGGUGGCGAAGGCGGCUUCCUGGACCGACACUGACGCUGAGGCGCGAAAGCUAGGGGAGCAAACGGGAUUAGAUACCCGGGUAGUCC